Molecule: transfer RNA, 85 nt
Filed under: Thermoanaerobacter sp.
Lineage: Bacteria; Bacillati; Bacillota; Clostridia; Thermoanaerobacterales; Thermoanaerobacteraceae
Description: tRNA-Leu
Rfam family: tRNA
About the family: Transfer RNA (tRNA) molecules are approximately 80 nucleotides in length. Their secondary structure includes four short double-helical elements and three loops (D, anti-codon, and T loops).
Source: RNAcentral
GCGGGCAUGGCGGAACUGGCAGACGCGCCAGACUUAGGAUCUGGUGGGGUUACCUGUGGGGGUUCAAGUCCCUUUGCCCGCACCA